GAAUGGAUUUCACCUUCUAAUUACUUGCCCACAUUCUUACCUGCCCUAUCUUCCUCUGACUCUACAAAGCCCAGCUCCACCCCCCUUUCCCCAUCAGUAUCCUCAAACAAAACUAAUGAUCAGAAGCCACUUGAGACCUUAUUGAAAAUAUAAAUUAUUUGAUCCCAUUUCACAAAAUCAGACUUUCAUGUGGACAGAGCCAGGGAAUCCUCUAUUUUAUAAAAUCCCUCCAAAUGAUUCCGGGGCAGUUGGACUAGGGGCAGAAUUUAGGAAAUAAUGCAGACUGUCACCUAAGCGACACAACACAGAUGUGUUGACAAACAUCAGCAAUGUGUUUGACUUACUGCAUCAGACUGAAGAUGGCUGGAGUAGGUCUCACCCUGCAUGUCUUCCUUCUACGAGCAUCUGUGACUCUACUGAGAGGACCGGAAAAAUCAGUCUCUUACUUGCAACCUGAAGAUCUUUCCCUUGUGCUUUGAGUAACACAUCCAACCCUUAACAUAACCUAUUAGGCGGCAUGAUCUGGCUCCAAGGGCCUCACCUCUCAAGCUACUCUUCCCUUUACCUUGUACUAAUUAUUAACUUGUAUACAGGGAGGAUAUCGGUAUAAUUUACCCCCCAAUCUCUACUUUCUCAAUUAAAUUAAGGAUAGGUAUAGAGUUGGGAAACUUUGUGGAGCAAUAGAGACCUGGAAAAUGUCUAAGAAGAAUGGAAAAUGACUUGGCUUAAGAAAAGGGACUGCUGAUCAUCCUCAAAGGCUCAACUGAGUCAAAGAUCGUAUAUCCAUGUUCCUAGGACAAUUACGUUAUUUCCUCCUUAAGCUCAGGAACCCUGGAGCAGAGAAGAUGGACAGUUAUGUCAGUCAGCAUGUGAAUAUUGGCAGAGCAGAAAGUCAAGAAGUGAGCGAAUACAGGUGCUAGUGUAAAAGAAACAAAAUGCCUGGGACAGGCCCAAGAGGAUUCAGUUGAUUUGCUCCAAGACACAGAGGAUGCAAACAUGAGUAGCCUUGCUUUGCCUCACUUGGUCUGUUUGGUAAGCGAGUCACCAUUUUAUUUAAUUCUUGUCUCUGGCUUCUUCACCAGUGGUUCUAAUUCCCGUUCUGUUACGUGCCCCUAGAGCAUUGUGAGUGGCAUACUGCGGCUGGAAGGUGCCCGUGGCAAAGCCGUCUCGGCACCGGGAGAGAAAUGCAAGAAGGUCUUUGUCAGUCAGGUAUCCUACGGGUGAGGCCAAGUAGAUAGGAGAACAGGAUGAAAUGGCAGGUGGGUAAGGAGGUAGCUCUGGGCUUCCAGGAGGAACGAUUCCAUCAUGUCCACCAGUUCCACAGUGUUGAAAACCGGCAACAAGACGUGCUUGCUGACCCUUCCUAUCCCAGAGCCGCAAUCCAAGGCACAGUCCGUCCCAGCUCUCCCGGGCCCCUGCGGAAAGAGUUGGCACUGACUUCAUAUCCUGGCACCGAGCUGCUUCCACGUUCUCUCAUUCACAUGCAGCUCCUCUGAGAAGGGUUAUUUAAAAACUGAUCUCAGGGACAACAUCUCUAGCCUCUUGGACACCACAGCUGCCCGUAACUGUGAUUGGAUUGAAAUUUAAUGCCCUUCCAUGAAUGCGACCAGAACUCCAUGCAAUGUGUGAUUUCAAAACAAGAUGUUUUGUUAUUUUCAUGUUCAUUUAUUAUGUUAUCCUCAUAAUUAUGAGUUCAUAUUAA
Vicugna pacos (alpaca) is the source of this 1702-nucleotide non-coding RNA. Lineage: Eukaryota; Metazoa; Chordata; Mammalia; Artiodactyla; Camelidae. The record is from RefSeq and is a predicted model, not a curated record.